UGAAACUUUAGUGAGUAGGA
RNAcentral lists this microRNA (20 nucleotides) under Cervus elaphus (red deer). RNAcentral's name for it is "PC-5p-114252". Lineage: Eukaryota; Metazoa; Chordata; Mammalia; Artiodactyla; Cervidae. The record is from RNAcentral.